GAUGAACGCUGGCGGCGCGCCUAACACAUGCAAGUCGAACGGUUAAAGCACCUUUUAGGUGUGUAUAAAGUGGCGAACGGCUGAGUAACACGUGGGCAACCUGCCCUCCUCUUGGGGAUAGCCUCGGGAAACCGAGGAUAAUACCCGAUACUUCAAUGUGGCCGCAUGACGACAUUGAGAAAGCUUUUGCGGGGGAGGGUGGGCCCGCGGCCUGUUAGUGUGUUGGUGGGGGAGGGGCUUACCAAGGCAAUGAUGGGUAGCUGGGUUGAGAGACCGACCAGCCAGAUUGGGACUGAGACACGGCCCAGACUCCUACGGGAGGCAGCAGUGGGGAAUCUUGCACAAUGGGCGAAAGCCUGAUGCAGCGACGCCGCGUGCGGGACGAAGGCCUUCGGGUUGUAAACCGCUUUCAGCAGGGACGAGGCGAUAAGUGACGGUACCUGCAGAAGAAGCCCCGGCUAACUACGUG
Molecule: ribosomal RNA, 469 nt
Filed under: uncultured bacterium
Lineage: Bacteria
Description: partial 16S ribosomal RNA
Rfam family: Bacterial small subunit ribosomal RNA
Source: RNAcentral